This is a non-coding RNA of Mycena latifolia, 90 nucleotides long. NCBI's taxonomy places the organism in Eukaryota, Fungi, Basidiomycota, Agaricomycetes, Agaricales, Mycenaceae. The record is from the annotation of a GenBank genome assembly.
GACCCGGUAGCGGAAGGUACCGCAUCCCCGCCGUUUGUCAUAGGAUUUGGAAUUCCAGUGGAGCCCCUGGUUCGACUCCAGGCUGGGUCA